AUACGUAGGGGGCGAGCGUUGUCCGGAAUGAUUGGGCGUAAAGGGCGCGUAGGCGGCUUUGCAAGUCAGUAGUGGAAGUCCAUUUUUCAAGGAUGGAAGUGCUACAGAAACUGCGGAGCUUGAGUGCAGGAGAGGUUAUCGGAAUUCCCGGUGUAGCGGUGAAAUGCGUAGAGAUCGGGAGGAACACCAGUGGCGAAGGCGGGUAACUGGACUGCAACUGACGCUGAGGCGCGAAAGUGUGGGGAGCAAACAGGAUUAGACACCCUGGUAGUCCACACUGUAAACGAUGAAUGCUAGGUGUAGGAGGUAUCGACCCCUUCUGUGCCGCAGUAAACACAGUAAGCAUUCCGCCUGGGGAGUACGGUCGCAAGAUUAAAACUCAAAGGAAUUGACGGUG
RNAcentral lists this ribosomal RNA (397 nucleotides) under uncultured bacterium. RNAcentral's name for it is "partial 16S ribosomal RNA". It matches the Rfam family "Bacterial small subunit ribosomal RNA", at positions 523 to 918 of the family's 1533-position model. The record is from RNAcentral.